GGGUUGUGAGGUUAAGCGACUAAGCGUACACGGUGGAUGCCCUGGCAGUCAGAGGCGAUGAAGGACGUGCUAAUCUGCGAUAAGCGUCGGUAAGGUGAUAUGAACCGUUAUAACCGGCGAUUUCCGAAUGGGGAAACCCAGUGUGAUUCGUCACACUAUCAUUAACUGAAUCCAUAGGUUAAUGAGGCGAACCGGGGGAACUGAAACAUCUAAGUACCCCGAGGAAAAGAAAUCAACCGAGAUUCCCCCAGUAGCGGCGAGCGAACGGGGAGCAGCCCAGAGCCUGAAUCAGUGUGUGUGUUAGUGGAAGCGUCUGGAAAGGCGCGCGAUACAGGGUGACAGCCCCGUACACAAAAAUACACAUAUUGUGAGCUCGAUGAGUAGGGCGGGACACGUGGUAUCCUGUCUGAAUAUGGGGGGACCAUCCUCCAAGGCUAAAUACU
This 443-nucleotide ribosomal RNA is filed under the name Escherichia coli. Its description in RNAcentral is "partial 23S ribosomal RNA". It matches the Rfam family "Bacterial large subunit ribosomal RNA", at positions 1 to 474 of the family's 2925-position model. The record is from RNAcentral. Lineage: Bacteria; Pseudomonadati; Pseudomonadota; Gammaproteobacteria; Enterobacterales; Enterobacteriaceae.